UGGGGAAUCUUGCACAAUGGGGGAAACCCUGAUGCAGCGACGCCGCGUGAGCGAUGAAGGUUUUCGAAUCGUAAAGCUCUGUCCUAAGGGAAGAUAAUGACGGUACCAUAGGAGGUAGCCCCGGCUAACUACGUGCCAGCAGCCGCGGUAAUACGUAGGGGGCGAGCGGUGUCCGGAAUUACUCGGCGUAAAGGGUUCGCAGCCGGCAUGACAAGUCCGAUGUAAAAGGCGAAAGCUCAACUUUCGUAAGCAUCGGAAACUGUCAAGCUUGCUUGACGGAGAGGCAAGUGGAAUUCCUUGUGUAGCGGUGGAAUGCGUAGAUAUUAGGAGGAAUCCCGGUGGCGAAGGCGACUUGCUGGACUUCAACUUACGCUGAGGAACGAAAGCGAGGGUAGCAAACAGG
Molecule: ribosomal RNA, 403 nt
Filed under: bacterium
Lineage: Bacteria
Description: partial 16S ribosomal RNA
Rfam family: Bacterial small subunit ribosomal RNA
Source: RNAcentral